RNAcentral lists this ribosomal RNA (497 nucleotides) under uncultured bacterium. RNAcentral's name for it is "partial 16S ribosomal RNA". It matches the Rfam family "Bacterial small subunit ribosomal RNA", at positions 28 to 507 of the family's 1533-position model. The record is from RNAcentral.
GAUGAACGCUGACGGCGUGCCUAAUACAUGCAAGUCGAGCGAACGGACGAGAAGCUUGCUUCUCUGAUGUUAGCGGCGGACGGGUGAGUAACACGUGGAUAACCUACCUAUAAGACUGGGAUAACUUCGGGAAACCGGAGCUAAUACCGGAUAAUAUUUUGAACCGCAUGGUUCAAAAGUGAAAGACGGUCUUGCUGUCACUUAUAGAUGGAUCCGCGCUGCAUUAGCUAGUUGGUAAGGUAACGGCUUACCAAGGCAACGAUGCAUAGCCGACCUGAGAGGGUGAUCGGCCACACUGGAACUGAGACACGGUCCAGACUCCUACGGGAGGCAGCAGUAGGGAAUCUUCCGCAAUGGGCGAAAGCCUGACGGAGCAACGCCGCGUGAGUGACGAAGGUCUUCGGAUCGUAAAACUCUGUUAUUAGGGAAGAACAUAUGUGUAAGUAACUGUGCACAUCUUGACGGUACCUAAUCAGAAAGCCACGGCUAACUACGUG